Equus asinus (donkey) is the source of this 1556-nucleotide long non-coding RNA. NCBI's taxonomy places the organism in Eukaryota, Metazoa, Chordata, Mammalia, Perissodactyla, Equidae. The record is from Ensembl.
GAGCGCUGGGCGGGGUCCCCUCUUAAGGAGAUGCGAAAGGGCGCCGGCCUGAGCCCCGCCUGCGUGCACGCCUUCUCCCCUGCGAGAUGUUCACACAUCAGUACCAGCACAACAGAAAUCCCCAGAGGUCCACGUUGCUGAGGAGCCCAGGCACUAGAUCCCCAGGCGAGCCAGGCAGCUGUGACCCAGGGCCAGGAUGGCCUCAGCCUCAGCUGGGUCCACUUUGAGGACAGUAACUUAUCAAAGGUAUCAGCAAAACCGGCAAACUGGGGAGAAACAGCACCAAAGACAGCAACAGACUCUGAUAUUUUGGGAGCUCAAGCAGAGGGGAAGGAAAAUGGCAAAUGCUCUAUGACAUCCUAAGUUCUCAAGCAACUCUCCACCAGCCCCAUUUCUCUCCCUGAAAGAACUGAGGAACACACUGAGUGGAACUCAAGUUACCUCAUGAGCUGCUGAGGUUUGAGGAAACACAAUUUUAUAAUCAAAGUUUGAUGGAAAAGGAAACUGAGUCACAUUACCAUUUGCAGAGUCACAGAGCUGAGAUCACAAGGCAGCUGAGUAACCUGAAUUCCAAUGGGAAACAAGCUCCUUAAAGGAGAGGUGGAGAACAUGAACCUUUUGACCUGUGCGAGAUUAGUGGAAAAACUGGUGGCCACCAUACAAACAGGCUUCCAGAGGAUCCUCACAAAAAGACUGGAGACAGGGCAAGAGAUGUGAGAGAGCCACCUCACUAAUGCAGCAAAAGCCUUAAAUCACUGAGGUGAGGGGCAGCAAACCUCUUACCAAAGACCCAUUGCAUCUAAGGGGAGUAGAAGCAAAAUCCACCUGCUUCUGGAGGAGAGGCAAGAAACCAUGUUGGAUCUUGAAUCUUACCAAUCAGAGUUCUGCUGCCACUGGGGGAGAGGCAAGAAAGUCCUGCACAAGACCAACCUCAGAAACAAGACAGAGUUUUGUUACCAUUGUCAGGAUGUGUAGACAUAUUGAGGAAGCUCCACCUCCAAGACUGUAUAGGGCCUGACAAAGAAUCAGGCUGGAACAGGACAACGCAGAAUUCCCCCUGCAACAGCAUUCUACAGAUGGAUGAGGAGCAGGAGUGUGGGCAGAGACCGAAUGCUGGAGGAGGAGUAGAAACCAUGAGAGAAACCCUCCAGCACUCUGUCUCCCAUCCCAAGCACCAGGGAUUAGUAGCUCAACUGGUAAAAGAAUUUGAAGCCUGUGGUACACAGAAAGCAACAAAAGCAAAAACAAUACCCAAAUAAUCAGCUCAACUCCUGGCUGUAUUGACUCAACCCCACACUAGUGGUCUGACAGAAGAAGAAGUAUUCCCAUAUCUAGGAGUUAAUACUAUUUACCUUAGUCUCUACUGUCCUACAUAUGAUGUGUAGCAGUCGAUAAAAAAUUACCAGACUAGGGUAUGGCUUGGUGGCUUACUGGUUAAGUUCGUGGGCUCCACUUCAGUGGCCUGGGGUUUGCAGGGUCAGAUCCCACUGUUCAUCAAGCCAUGCUGUGACAGGUGUCCCACAUAUAAAAUAGAGGAAGAUUGACACAGAUGUUAG